CCAGUGCUACAACCGCGCAGAAAAGGUCUUAAACUCAUUACGAGUACCUUGAUGGCGAGUCUGAGUUAAUUA
Regulatory RNA element from Virgibacillus sp. SK37, 72 nucleotides. The record is from Rfam. NCBI's taxonomy places the organism in Bacteria, Bacillati, Bacillota, Bacilli, Caryophanales, Bacillaceae.